Molecule: ribosomal RNA, 472 nt
Filed under: uncultured bacterium
Lineage: Bacteria
Description: bacterial SSU rRNA
Rfam family: Bacterial small subunit ribosomal RNA
Source: RNAcentral
AGAGUUCGAUCAUGGCUCAGAACGAACGCUGGCGGCAGGCCUAAUACAUGCAAGUCGAGCGCGCCCUUCGGGGUGAGCGGCGGACGGGUGAGUAACGCGUGGGAAUAUGCCCUUCUCUAAGGAAUAGCCUCUGGAAACGGAGAGUAAUACCUUAUACGCCCUUUUGGGGAAAGAUUUAUCGGAGAAGGAUUAGCCCGCGUUAGAUUAGGUAGUUGGUGGGGUAAUGGCCUACCAAGCCUACGAUCUAUAGCUGGUUUGAGAGGAUGAUCAGCCACACUGGGACUGAGACACGGCCCAGACUCCUACGGGAGGCAGCAGUAGGGAAUCUUAGACAAUGGGGGCAACCCUGAUCUAGCCAUGCCGCGUGUGUGAUGAGGGCCCUAGGGUCGUAAAGCACUUUCGCCAGAGAUGAUAAUGACAGUAUCUGGUAAAGAAACCCCGGCUAGCUCCGUGCCAGCCGCCGCGGUAAUUC